This 663-nucleotide long non-coding RNA is filed under the name Prunus persica (peach). RNAcentral describes it as "long non-coding RNA (PPER_LNC004841)". The record is from RNAcentral. Lineage: Eukaryota; Viridiplantae; Streptophyta; Magnoliopsida; Rosales; Rosaceae.
GAAUUUGGUGGUGGUUAAGGACUUGCGAUGUUGCUUAAUGAGAUUGGCUUCGGUGAUUUAAAAAGGUAGUAUGAAAGAAGAUGAGAGAAGUUUGGAUUUUGCAUGAAUGUGCUUCCAGAAGCUCCAAAAUUGUUCCUUUGUGGCUUGAAAGGUUUUGAGAAUGAAUCAAAUACCUAGCGUAAGUAGUACGUGUGUGCCUCUCUUACCCCACUCCCCCCUCUUAUCCUGUGUCCAGACUAAGUUCUCUCUUCCUCUUUACAAAUUCUCAAUUUAUAAGGGUUUGAGGUUACAUAAGUUAGAUAUAUUCAAGAAAUUCCCCUUUUUUUUUGGUCGAAAAGAUCUUAUAUUCAAAGCACAAGAACCCCAAACAAGAGGCUUACGCCCAUACAAAGGAAAACGAGUCUGUCCAUGCAAGGAACAUAGAGAAAACAUAGAGAGUUCAAAAACCAACCAAUACAUUUAGACUGAUCAAAAAGAAAAGUGCCAGAAAGACAAUCCAACCAUAAGGAUGUCAAAACGAUUCAAGACCAGUCAACAGCCAAAUUAGGCAUGGUGAGGACAAGGGAGUCCAUCCUUGCAGACGAUGUGCACAAGAGAGGUGGGGGGCUGUUCAACCCAAACUUCCGUACUCCUUCUCGAUAGUGCCAGCGAUGCAAGAUGAUC